RNAcentral lists this ribosomal RNA (1343 nucleotides) under uncultured bacterium. RNAcentral's name for it is "16S ribosomal RNA". It matches the Rfam family "Bacterial small subunit ribosomal RNA", at positions 28 to 1378 of the family's 1533-position model. The record is from RNAcentral.
GACGAACGCUGGCGGCGUGCUUAACACAUGCAAGUCGAACGGAAAGGCCCUGCUUUUGUGGGGUGCUCGAGUGGCGAACGGGUGAGUAACACGUGAGUAACCUGCCCUUGACUUUGGGAUAACUUCAGGAAACUGGGGCUAAUACCGGAUAGGAGCUCCUGCUGCAUGGUGGGGGUUGGAAAGUUUCGGCGGUUGGGGAUGGACUCGCGGCUUAUCAGCUUGUUGGUGGGGUAGUGGCUUACCAAGGCUUUGACGGGUAGCCGGCCUGAGAGGGUGACCGGCCACAUUGGGACUGAGAUACGGCCCAGACUCCUACGGGAGGCAGCAGUGGGGAAUAUUGCACAAUGGGCGGAAGCCUGAUGCAGCAACGCCGCGUGCGGGAUGACGGCCUUCGGGUUGUAAACCGCUUUCGCCUGUGACGAAGCGUGAGUGACGGUAAUGGGUAAAGAAGCACCGGCUAACUACGUGCCAGCAGCCGCGGUGAUACGUAGGGUGCGAGCGUUGUCCGGAUUUAUUGGGCGUAAAGGGCUCGUAGGUGGUUGAUCGCGUCGGAAGUGUAAUCUUGGGGCUUAACCCUGAGCGCGCUUUCGAUACGGGUUGACUUGAGGAAGGUAGGGGAGAAUGGAAUCCCUGGUGGAGCGGUGGAAUGCGCAGAUAUCAGGAGGAACACCAGUGGCGAAGGCGGUUCUCUGGGCCUUUCCUGACGCUGAGGAGCGAAAGCGUGGGGAGCGAACAGGCUUAGAUACCCUGGUAGUCCACGCUGUAAACGGUGGGUACUAGGUGUGGGGUCCAUUCCACGGGUUCCGUGCCGUAGCUAACGCUUUAAGUACCCCGCCUGGGGAGUACGGCCGCAAGGCUAAAACUCAAAGGAAUUGACGGGGCCCCGCACAAGCGGCGGAGCAUGCGGAUUAAUUCGAUGCAACGCGUAGAACCUUACCUGGGUUUGACAUGGAUCGGGAGCGCUCAGAGAUGGGUGUGCCUCUUUUGGGGUCGGUUCACAGGUGGUGCAUGGCUGUCGUCAGCUCGUGUCGUGAGAUGUUGGGUUAAGUCCCGCAACGAGCGCAACCCUUGUUCACUGUUGCCAGCACGUUAUGGUGGGGACUCAGUGGAGACCGCCGGGGUCAACUCGGAGGAAGGUGGGGAUGACGUCAAGUCAUCAUGCCCCUUAUGUCCAGGGCUUCACGCAUGCUACAAUGGCUGGUACAGAGAGUGGCGAGCCUGUGAGGGUGAGCGAAUCUCGGAAAGCCGGUCUCAGUUCGGAUUGGGGUCUGCAACUCGACCUCAUGAAGUCGGAGUCGCUAGUAAUCGCAGAUCAGCAACGCUGCGGUGAAUACGUUCCCGGG